RNAcentral lists this non-coding RNA (30 nucleotides) under Mus musculus (house mouse). Lineage: Eukaryota; Metazoa; Chordata; Mammalia; Rodentia; Muridae. The record is from RNAcentral.
UAGUGAAGUAACACUUCAUUGAUCCUGGGA